GCCAGCAGCCGCGGUAAUACGGGGGGAGCAAGCGUUGUUCGGAUUUACUGGGCGUAAAGGGCGCGUAGGCGGCGCGACAAGUCACUUGUGAAAUCUCUGGGCUCAACCCAGAACGGUCAAGUGAUACUGUCGUGCUAGAGUGCGGAAGGGGCAACUGGAAUUCUUGGUGUAGCGGUGAAAUGCGUAGAUAUCAAGAGGAACACCUGCGGCGAAGGCGGGUUGCUGGGCCGACACUGACGCUGAGGCGCGAAAGCUAGGGGAGCGAACGGGAUUAGAUACCCCGGUAGUCCUAGCCUUAAACGAUGAAUGCUUGGUGUCCGGAGUUAGAUAGUCUCCGGGUGCCGUCGCUAACGCUUUAAGCAUUCCGCCUGGGGAGUACGGUCGCAAGACUGAAACUCAAAGGAAUUGACGGGGGCCCGCAC
RNAcentral lists this ribosomal RNA (422 nucleotides) under uncultured bacterium. RNAcentral's name for it is "bacterial SSU rRNA". It matches the Rfam family "Bacterial small subunit ribosomal RNA", at positions 507 to 926 of the family's 1533-position model. The record is from RNAcentral.